AACGAACGCUGGCGGCAGGCCUAACACAUGCAAGUCGAGCGGGACCUUCGGGUCUAGCGGCGGACGGGUUAGUAACACGUGGGAACGUACCUCUCUCUACGGAAUAGCCUCGGGAAACUGAGCGUAAUACCGUACACGCCCUUUGGGGGAAAGAUUUAUCGGAGAGAGAUCGGCCCGCGUCUGAUUAGAUAGUUGGUGGGGUAAUGGCCUACCAAGUCUACGAUCAGUAGCUGGUUUGAGAGGAUGACCAGUAACACUGGGACUGAGACACGGCCCAGACUCCUACGGGAGGCAGCAGUGGGGAAUCUUAGACAAUGGGCGCAAGCCUGAUCUAGCCAUGCCGCGUGAGUGAUGAAGGCCUUAGGGUCGUAAAGCUCUUUCGCUGGGGAAGAUAAUGACUGUACCCAGUAAAGAAACCCCGGCUAACUCCGUGCCAGCAGCCGCAGUAA
This 449-nucleotide ribosomal RNA is filed under the name uncultured bacterium. Its description in RNAcentral is "partial 16S ribosomal RNA". It matches the Rfam family "Bacterial small subunit ribosomal RNA", at positions 29 to 523 of the family's 1533-position model. The record is from RNAcentral.